UCCUUAAGUGGGGGAUAACAUUUGGAAACAGAUGCUAAUACCGCAUAGAUCCAAGAACCGCAUGGUUCUUGGCUGAAAGAUGGCGUAAGCUAUCGCUUUUGGAUGGACCCGCGGCGUAUUAUCUAGUUGGUGAGGUAAUGGCUCACCAAGGCGAUGAUACGUAGCCGAACUGAGAGGUUGAUCGGCCACAUUGGGACUGACACACGGCCCAAACUACAUACGGGAGGCAGCAGUAGGGAAUCUUCCACAAUGGACGCUAGUCUUAUGGAGCACCGCCUCGUGAGUG
RNAcentral lists this ribosomal RNA (286 nucleotides) under uncultured Lactobacillus sp. RNAcentral describes it as "partial 16S ribosomal RNA". It matches the Rfam family "Bacterial small subunit ribosomal RNA", at positions 129 to 407 of the family's 1533-position model. Lineage: Bacteria; Bacillati; Bacillota; Bacilli; Lactobacillales; Lactobacillaceae. The record is from RNAcentral.